GACGAACGCUGGCGGCGUGCUUAACACAUGCAAGUCGAACGAUGAAGCCAGCUUGCUGGUGGAUUAGUGGCGAACGGGUGAGUAACACGUGGGUGAUCUGCCCCAAACUUUGGGAUAAGCCUGGGAAACUGGGUCUAAUACCGAAUAUGACCGAUACUCGCAUGGGUGUUGGUGGAAAGCUCCGGCGGUUUAGGAUGGGCCCGCGGCCUAUCAGCUUGUUGGUGGGGUAAUGGCCUACCAAGGCGACGACGGGUAGCCGGCCUGAGAGGGCGACCGGCCACACUGGGACUGAGACACGGCCCAGACUCCUACGGGAGGCAGCAGUGGGGAAUAUUGCACAAUGGGCGCAAGCCUGAUGCAGCGACGCCGCGUGAGGGAUGACGGCCUUCGGGUUGUAAACCUCUUUCACCAGGGACGAAGCGAAAGUGACGGUACCUGGAGAAGAAGCACCGGCCAACUACGUG
RNAcentral lists this ribosomal RNA (464 nucleotides) under uncultured bacterium. Its description in RNAcentral is "partial 16S ribosomal RNA". It matches the Rfam family "Bacterial small subunit ribosomal RNA", at positions 28 to 507 of the family's 1533-position model. The record is from RNAcentral.